CAAAAUAUAGUACAAUCUUUAAGUACUUUUCGUUUACACCGAAAAAAUGACUUCUUAGUCUGUUUUGU
This 68-nucleotide transfer RNA is filed under the name Travisia sanrikuensis. RNAcentral's name for it is "tRNA-Val". The record is from RNAcentral. Lineage: Eukaryota; Metazoa; Annelida; Polychaeta; Opheliidae.